GCGGGCGUAGUUUAGCGGUAAAAUAUGAGCUUCCCAAGCUUAGGUUGUGGGUCCGACUCCCAUCGCCCGCUCCA
This 74-nucleotide transfer RNA is filed under the name Clostridiales bacterium. RNAcentral's name for it is "tRNA-Gly". It matches the Rfam family "tRNA". From Rfam's summary of the family: Transfer RNA (tRNA) molecules are approximately 80 nucleotides in length. Lineage: Bacteria; Bacillati; Bacillota; Clostridia; Eubacteriales. The record is from RNAcentral. RNAcentral also lists the same sequence under 1 other name.